GACGAGGGAUCCCUAGCGUUGUUCGGAAUCAUUGGGCGUAAAGGGUGCGUAGGUGGCUAUGUAAGUCAGAUGUGAAAUCCCAGGGCUCAACCCUGGAAGUGCAUUUGAUACUGGAAGUCUUGAGUGUGGUAGAGGUUACUGGAAUUGUUGGUGUAGUGGUGAAAUACGUAGAUAUCAACAGGAAUACCGGAGGCGAAGGCGAGUAACUGGGCCAACACUGACACUGAGACCCGAAAGCGU
RNAcentral lists this ribosomal RNA (240 nucleotides) under uncultured bacterium. RNAcentral's name for it is "partial 16S ribosomal RNA". It matches the Rfam family "Bacterial small subunit ribosomal RNA", at positions 524 to 762 of the family's 1533-position model. The record is from RNAcentral.